Molecule: long non-coding RNA, 306 nt
Organism: Cataglyphis hispanica
Lineage: Eukaryota; Metazoa; Arthropoda; Insecta; Hymenoptera; Formicidae
Exons: 3
Source: RefSeq, a predicted model, not a curated record
GUAACAGCGCUUUAUUCUUCCUAUUUUAUUUAUAUUUAUAUCUCGACUUGUCAAUAUGUUAACAUCGUCGCAUUCUGAAUACGAGUCAUAGUCUAUAGCCCCAGUGACAUCACAGACCAUUCUAAAAUCUAUCGUUGACGGUAAUAAAUAAUACUUCAAGGAAUAACAGUAUCUCAGAAGCCGGCAUCUUUGGCGGUGGCACUGGCAUGUGCGGCAACUGCGAUUCCUGAUUCUGCAUUCUUCGUUCACUACACAACGGUCACUCUUAGCGAGGAUCAAAAUAACUAUGAUGAACGGCGUCGCACA